AGAGAGAGACAUGCGCGCAUAUCAAUAAGCGGAGGAAAAGAAACUAACAAGGACUCCCCUAGUAACGGCGAGUGAAGCGGGAAGAGCUCAAAUUUGAAAUCUUAAAGGGUUUCCCUUUACGAAUUGUAGUUUAAAGAAGUGUUUUCUGUUGAGGUUUUGGUAAAAGUUCUUUGGAAUAGGACAUCAUAGAGGGUGAGAAUCCCGUAUUUGACCUUUACUUUCAACUUUGUGAUACACUUUCAAAGAGUCGGAUUGUUUGGGAAUGCAGUCCAAAAUGGGUGGUAAAUUUCAUCUAAAGCUAAAUAUUGGCGAGAGACCGAUAGCGAACAAGUACCGUGAGGGAAAGAUGAAAAGAACUUUGAAAAGAGAGUUAAACAGUACGUGAAAUUGUCAAAAGGGAAGCGUUUGACACCAGUGUUGUUUUUCUGAAAAUCAAUUAAAGAACUGUUUAUGCUAAGCUUGUUUGAGACUUUAUCAGCUAUCUGUUUAGUUUUGAGCUUUUCUUUAAUGCACUUUUCAGUUAACAAGUCAACAUCAAUUUCUUUUGCUGUAAAAAAGCUUGAGGAAGGUGGCUUGAGAUUCGUCUUAAGUGUUUAUAGCCUCUUGCCUAUGCAGUCGGAGAGAUUGAGGUCUGCAGCGUAGAUCCUUCGGGGCUAAAUGCAUUUGUGCUAAGUUAUAGCAUUUUAUAGACAACUUGUUGACUAUGAUUUGUCUUGUAGCUUACUCGCUUAUGUUAUUUUACCUACGCUUAGGAUGUUGACGCAUGAGAUAUACGC
Molecule: ribosomal RNA, 776 nt
Filed under: uncultured Neocallimastigales
Lineage: Eukaryota; Fungi; Neocallimastigomycota; Neocallimastigomycetes; Neocallimastigales
Description: partial large subunit ribosomal RNA
Rfam family: Eukaryotic large subunit ribosomal RNA
Source: RNAcentral